AUUGAACGCUGGCGGCGUGCUUUACACAUGCAAGUCGAACGGCAGCACGGGAGCAAUCCUGGUGGCAAGUGGCAAACGGGGUGAGUAAUACUUCGGAACGUACCUUUUAGUGGGGGAUAACUACUCGAAAGAGUGGCUAAUACCGCAUAUGUCUAUGGAUGAAAGCGGGGGAUCGUAAGACCUCGCGCUAAUUGAGCGGCCGAAGCAAGAUUAGGUAGUUGGUAGGGUAAAGUCCUACCAAGCCUGCGAUCUUUAGCUGGUCUGAGAGGACGAGCAGCCACACUGGGACUGAGACACGGCCCAGACGCCUACGGGAGGCAGCAGUGGGGAAUUUUGGACAAUGGGGGCAACCCUGAUCCAGCAACGCCGCGUGAGUGAAGAAGGCCUUCGGGUUGUAAAGCUCUUUUGUUAGGGAAGAAAUCUUCUAGGCUAAUACCCUGGGAGGAUGACGGUACCUAAAGAAUAAGCACCGGCUAACUACGUGCCAGCCGCCGCAGUAA
Molecule: ribosomal RNA, 500 nt
Filed under: uncultured bacterium
Lineage: Bacteria
Description: partial 16S ribosomal RNA
Rfam family: Bacterial small subunit ribosomal RNA
Source: RNAcentral